GGCAACUUGGCCGAGCUGGUUAAGGCGUUAGACUCAAGGACAUAACUCCCUGGCCUCAAAAGAGGCUGUAUUCUAAUCACGAAAGUGGCGUGAGUUCGAAUCUCACAGUUGUCA
This 114-nucleotide transfer RNA is filed under the name Cercophora newfieldiana. It matches the Rfam family "tRNA". From Rfam's summary of the family: Transfer RNA (tRNA) molecules are approximately 80 nucleotides in length. Their secondary structure includes four short double-helical elements and three loops (D, anti-codon, and T loops). Lineage: Eukaryota; Fungi; Ascomycota; Sordariomycetes; Sordariales; Lasiosphaeriaceae. The record is from Rfam by way of RNAcentral.